UUUUCAGUGUCGCAGCGAAAGCGAUAAACACACCGCCUGGGGAGUACGACCGCAAGGUUAAAACUCAAAUGAAUUGACGGGGACCCGCACAAGUAGUGGAGCAUGUGGUUUAAUUCGAAGAUACGCGCAGAACCUUACCAACACUUGACAUGUUCGUCGCGACUUUAAGAGAUUAAAGUUUUCGGUUCGGCCGGACGAAACACAGGUGCUGCAUGGCUGUCGUCAGCUCGUGUCGUGAGAUGUUGGGUUAAGUCCCGCAACGAGCGCAACCCUCACUUUUAGUUGCCAUCAUUAAGUUGGGCACUCUGAAAGAACUGCCAGUGAUAAGCUGGAGGAAGGUGGGGAUGACGUCAAGUCCUCAUGGCCCUUACGUGUUGGGCUACACACGUGCUACAAUGGUAUCUACAACAGGAAGCAAGACGGCGACGUUAAGCAAAUCCCUAAAAGAUACCUCAGUUCGGAUUGCACUCUGCAACUCGAGUGCAUGAAGCUGGAAUUACUAGUAAUCGUGGAUCAGCGUGCCACGGUGAAUGCGUUCCCGGGUCUUGUACACACCGCCCGUCACACCAUGGGAGUUGGUUCUACCUUAAGGCAAGGUUUCAAACCCUUGACCACGGUAUAGUCAGCGACUGGGGUGAAGUCGUAACAAGGUAGCCGUAGGGGAACCUGCGGCUGGAUUACCUCCUU
RNAcentral lists this ribosomal RNA (687 nucleotides) under uncultured marine alpha proteobacterium. Its description in RNAcentral is "bacterial SSU rRNA". It matches the Rfam family "Bacterial small subunit ribosomal RNA", at positions 837 to 1532 of the family's 1533-position model. Lineage: Bacteria; Pseudomonadati; Pseudomonadota; Alphaproteobacteria. The record is from RNAcentral.